Molecule: ribosomal RNA, 35 nt
Filed under: Phytophthora inflata
Lineage: Eukaryota; Oomycota; Peronosporomycetes; Peronosporales; Peronosporaceae
Description: partial 18S ribosomal RNA
Source: RNAcentral
UUAAUUCUUUACGUGAACCUGCGGAAGGAUCAUUA